This 58-nucleotide transfer RNA is filed under the name Salmo salar (Atlantic salmon). It matches the Rfam family "tRNA", at positions 8 to 63 of the family's 71-position model. From Rfam's summary of the family: Transfer RNA (tRNA) molecules are approximately 80 nucleotides in length. Their secondary structure includes four short double-helical elements and three loops (D, anti-codon, and T loops). The record is from Rfam by way of RNAcentral. RNAcentral also lists the same sequence under 1 other name. Lineage: Eukaryota; Metazoa; Chordata; Actinopteri; Salmoniformes; Salmonidae.
UGACUCAGUUGGUAGAACAUGGCGCUUGCAACGCCAGGGUUGUGGGUUCAAUUCCCAC